CUUUACUGUAACUUGAAAUUGAAAUUGGACUUUAUUUGCGCAGUAUAGGUGGGAGGCGUUGAGAGUAUUCUUGCGGGAAUAUUGGAGCCAUCAGUGAGAUACCACUCUUGUAAUGUUAGAUUUCUAACUUUGAAUCAUUAUCUGGUCAAAGGACAGUUUCAGGCGGGCAGUUUGACUGGGGCGGUCGCCUCCUAAACGGUAACGGAGGCGUACAAAGGUUUCCUCUGAACGGGUAGAAAUCGUAUCUAGAGUGUAAAGGCAUAAGGAAGCUUGACUGUGAGACCUACAAGUCGAGCAGGGACGAAAGUCGGUCUUAGUGAUCUGACGGUGCUGAGUGGAAAGGCCGUCACUCAACGGAUAAAAGUUA
This 367-nucleotide ribosomal RNA is filed under the name uncultured organism. Its description in RNAcentral is "bacterial LSU rRNA". It matches the Rfam family "Bacterial large subunit ribosomal RNA", at positions 2099 to 2465 of the family's 2925-position model. The record is from RNAcentral.